CCGCCACGUUUCCUGUCUGUAACCGAAAACGUCUAAAGACGAUAAAAAUAGCAGCUACACUGGUGCACUUCUUGCUGAACAUGCUCACGUACAGGUGAAAGGUUUUAUCAGACAAGGCUUUAUUGGACAUUUGACCCUAUUAAAUCAUGCAGACAGAAUGCACAAGUCAAUAUGUUGCUAUUGGUCUGACAUCGAUUGCACUGCUGAUAUCUGUGUGCUUAAAUGUUGCAUUCUGUUUAUUAAGAAGAAAGGAAAAAAAAUAUGCAGCUAAUGAAAACAUGUUUGAAUAUGGAGAUGAGCCAUUACGUCAAGAUUCACUUCGGUCUUACAGGUUUGAGGAUGAUGAGAUGGAAAGACAGGAAAAUCCGAUUUAUGGAAAUAUAUGUUUAGAGGCAGGAGGACCUUUUGAAAUGUCUCCAGAGGUGUGCUAUGAACAAAUGUCACAUGCAGGCACAGCAAAGCAGGGAUUAAAGGUCCAGCAGGGGGACGUGUCCUAUGCCUCUCUGGAUCUGACUGCCAAUAAAAAGCGUAGGAAGAAGAGAAAAUACCAAAAACAGACUCACCCUCAGACUCACCAGGCCCAGACACAUCCUCAGCCUGCAUCCCAGCAGAACUGCAUGAACCAGGAUGACGAGGCUGAUGUCACCCUCCCGUCCCGGAGCAGCAGCCUCAUGGUUUCACGUCACAGCAUCUACCUCAACAGUCAUCAAGUAGCCCUGGAGGCAGAAGAGAUGGAGAGGGAGAGAGAGAGGGAGAGAGAAAGAGAGAUGGAAAUGGAAAUGGAAAGAGAAAGAGAUGAUAAUGAAGAGAGAGAGUUUGAGAUGCACAGAAAAGUGCUUGAAGGCUUUGAUCACUCCCUCGGUAGAUCAAGACAAAGUCUAAAACAGGACAGUUAACAGUUAGAGAGUUCAAAAAAUACAAAUAAAAAUACCUUUAGCGAAUUAAAAGAAACGAACACAGGAUACUGUGGGGUGGUGCUGUCAAUAGCUGUGACAUUUAAAGCUCAUCUCUAUCCCAGAUCAUAAGUUCUGUGUGUUCUAAAGCAUGCA
This 1049-nucleotide long non-coding RNA is filed under the name Sinocyclocheilus grahami. Its description in RNAcentral is "lncRNA (ENSSGRG00000041448.1)". The record is from RNAcentral. Lineage: Eukaryota; Metazoa; Chordata; Actinopteri; Cypriniformes; Cyprinidae.